GGGGCUUAGUAUUUUUUAAAAUUUUUAUUUUCUUUUCAAGAUAGCAUGAUUAACUAAUAAUCUAAUUAAGGAAAGUAAAUAAUUAAAGGGAAAAGGGAAUGCAGAAGGGAUAAAUAUGGAUAACUACCGAUCUUACCUUUCGGCGAGGGUUCAAUGUUUUAAGUCUUCUUAACAAGACUUCUCACCUGUUCAUUUUUCAGGUGCGUCAUUUGAUUCAGGUGCGGACCUUGAUGUCUGCACCUCUUGAUACGGUGUCAC
RNAcentral lists this long non-coding RNA (258 nucleotides) under Sorghum bicolor (sorghum). RNAcentral describes it as "long non-coding RNA (SBIC_LNC014474)". The record is from RNAcentral. Lineage: Eukaryota; Viridiplantae; Streptophyta; Magnoliopsida; Poales; Poaceae.